UGGCUCAGAUUGAACGCUGGCGGCAGGCCUAACACAUGCAAGUCGGACGGUAGCACAGAGAGCUUGCUCUUGGGUGACGAGUGGCGGACGGGUGAGUAAUGUCUGGGGAUCUGCCCGAUAGAGGGGGAUAACCACUGGAAACGGUGGCUAAUACCGCAUAACGUCGCAAGACCAAAGAGGGGGACCUUCGGGCCUCUCACUAUCGGAUGAACCCAGAUGGGAUUAGCUAGUAGGCGGGGUAAUGGCCCACCUAGGCGACGAUCCCUAGCUGGUCUGAGAGGAUGACCAGCCACACUGGAACUGAGACACGGUCCAGACUCCUACGGGAGGCAGCAGUGGGGAAUAUUGCACAAUGGGCGCAAGCCUGAUGCAGCCAUGCCGCGUGUAUGAAGAAGGCCUUCGGGUUGUAAAGUACUUUCAGCGGGGAGGAAGGCGAUGUGGUUAAUAACCGCGUCGAUUGACGUUACCCGCAGAAGAAGCACCGGCUAACUCCGUGCCAGCAGCCGCGGUAAUACGGAGGGUGCAAGCGUUAAUCGGAAUUACUGGGCGUAAAGCGCACGCAGGCGGUCUGUUAAGUCAGAUGUGAAAUCCCCGGGCUUAACCUGGGAACUGCAUUUGAAACUGGCAGGCUUGAGUCUCGUAGAGGGGGGUAGAAUUCCAGGUGUAGCGGUGAAAUGCGUAGAGAUCUGGAGGA
Molecule: ribosomal RNA, 694 nt
Filed under: Pantoea brenneri
Lineage: Bacteria; Pseudomonadati; Pseudomonadota; Gammaproteobacteria; Enterobacterales; Erwiniaceae
Description: bacterial SSU rRNA
Rfam family: Bacterial small subunit ribosomal RNA
Source: RNAcentral